RNAcentral lists this small RNA (76 nucleotides) under Xanthomonas oryzae pv. oryzicola. RNAcentral's name for it is "sX9 sRNA". It matches the Rfam family "Xanthomonas sRNA sX9". Lineage: Bacteria; Pseudomonadati; Pseudomonadota; Gammaproteobacteria; Lysobacterales; Lysobacteraceae. The record is from RNAcentral.
AUGUACCAUGGUCCACUGCGGUUCCGAGCGCGCCGUCCGCGCCCACCUGACAGCUGCUCGCGACGUCUUGUUAGCC